AGAGUUUGAUCUUGGCUCAGGACGAACGCUUGCGGCGUGCCUAAGAAAUGCAAGUCGAGCGAGGUUAGAGAGCUUGCUCUCGAAGCCUAGCGGCGAACGGUCGCGUAACACGUAAGCAACCUACCUUAAAGUUGGGGAUAGCCCGCCGAAAGGCGGAUUAAUACCGAAUGUGGAUGUCUUUUCGCAUGUAUUGACAUCUGAAGCAGCAAUGCGCUUUAAGAUGGGCUUGCGGCCUAUCAGCUAGUUGGCGGGGUAACGGCUCACCAAGGCGACGACGGGUAGCUGGUCUGAGAGGAUGGUCAGCCGGACUGGGACUGAGAUACGGCCCAGACUCCUACGGGGGGCAGCAAUUAGGAAUCUUGCGCAAUGGGCGAAAGCCUGACGCAGCGACGCCGCGUGACUGAUGAAGUCCUUCGGGAUGUAAAGGUCUUUUGCAGGGGAAGAAGGAUGUGACGGUACCCUGCGAAUAAGCUCCGGCUAACUACGUGCCAGCAGCCGCGGUAAUACGUAGGGAGCGAGCGUUGUCCGAAUUCACUGGGCGUAAAGCGCGCGUAGGCGGGUUUUUAAGUUGGGGGUGAAAUCCCGGAGCUCAACUCCGGAACUGCCUCCAAAACUGGAAGCCUUGAGGUAUGGAGAGGGAAGUGGAAUUCCUGGUGUAGCGGUGAAAUGCGUAGAUAUCAGGAGGAACACCCGUGGCGAAGGCGGCUUCCUGGCCAUAUCCUGACGCUGAGGUGCGAAAGCUAGGGGAGCGAACGGGAUUAGAUACCCCGGUAGUCCUAGCCGUAAACGAUGGAUACUAGGUGUUAGAGGUAUCGACCCCUCUAGUGCCGAAGCUAACGCAUUAAGUAUCCCGCCUGGGGAGUACGGCCGCAAGGCUG
This 878-nucleotide ribosomal RNA is filed under the name uncultured bacterium. Its description in RNAcentral is "bacterial SSU rRNA". It matches the Rfam family "Bacterial small subunit ribosomal RNA", at positions 8 to 896 of the family's 1533-position model. The record is from RNAcentral.